CCCUCUUUGUGUGCACGCCCCCCUCGCCCCGGGCCUCAGGGCAGGAAGCACCUGGUCUGGAGCGGAUGCACAGGGCGCCUGGUUCCGGUCCAGCUUCCGCCACUGUGGCCCCUGGAGAGCUGGGCCAAAGAAACCAGGCGGCGAGGAGGCAGCGGCGCGAAGACACGUGGGGGCUACCGGGCAGGAGCGCCCCACUAUGCGCAAGCCCGUGGCCUGGAGAGCGCUGAAGACUCAACACUCCAGCCAGGCAGGGGCGAACGAUCCCCAGAGGAACAGAUCCCAGUCAUGCAGCUGUAUGGACCAAUACACAAACCACAGGCAAUCGGGA
Homo sapiens (human) is the source of this 328-nucleotide long non-coding RNA. RefSeq lists it as uncharacterized. NCBI's taxonomy places the organism in Eukaryota, Metazoa, Chordata, Mammalia, Primates, Hominidae. The transcript has 2 exons. The record is from RefSeq and is a predicted model, not a curated record.